AUAAAUGCUAAAUCUUUUAUCUUUUAUC
This 28-nucleotide non-coding RNA is filed under the name Rattus norvegicus (Norway rat). The record is from RNAcentral. Lineage: Eukaryota; Metazoa; Chordata; Mammalia; Rodentia; Muridae.